This 382-nucleotide ribosomal RNA is filed under the name uncultured eukaryote. RNAcentral's name for it is "partial 18S ribosomal RNA". It matches the Rfam family "Eukaryotic small subunit ribosomal RNA", at positions 592 to 976 of the family's 1831-position model. The record is from RNAcentral.
UGUAAGCGUAUACCAAAGUUGUUGCAGUUAAAACACUCGUAGUCGGAACUUGGCCGUUCCGGAUGUGUGCACGUCGUGUGCGCACUUUGCGGGGACGGCUUUUGUGGUCUUGCGUAGGAUGAGGCACUUUUAUUAGUGAACGUCCUCACGCAACCACUCUUUACUGUGAGAAAAUCAGAGUGCUCAAAGCAGGCAUUUGCCGUGAAUGUAUUAGCAUGGAAUAAUAGAAUAGGACUCGGUUCUAUUUUGUUGGUUUGUUGGGACUGAGUAAUGAUUAAGAGGGACAGUUGGGGGCAUUUGUAUUUCGGCGCUAGAGGUGAAAUUCUUAGAUUGCCGAAAGACAAACUGCUGCGAAAGCGUCUGCCAAGGAUGUUUUCAUUGA